Molecule: ribosomal RNA, 301 nt
Filed under: uncultured bacterium
Lineage: Bacteria
Description: partial 16S ribosomal RNA
Rfam family: Bacterial small subunit ribosomal RNA
Source: RNAcentral
CAGCCGCCACGGGAAUACAGAGGGUGCGAGCGUUAAUCGGAUUUACUGGGCGUAAAGCGUGCGUAGGCGGCUUUUUAAGUCGGAUGUGAAAUCCCUGAGCUUAACUUAGGAAUUGCAUUCGAUACUAGGAAGCUAGAGUAUGGGAGAGGAUGGUAGAAUUCCAGGUGUAGCGGUGAAAUGCGUAGAGAUCUGGAGGAAUACCGAUGGCGAAGGCAGCCAUCUGGCCUAAUACUGACGCUGAGGUACGAAAGCAUGGGGAGCAAACAGGAUUAGAUACCCGCGUAGUCCCUGUCUCUUAUAA